CACCGCGGUUAUACGAGAGACCCAAGUUGACAGAUAUCGGCAUAAAGAGUGGUUAGGAGAGUAUUAAACUAAAGCCGAACACCCGCAAAACUGUUAUACGCCCUCGAGAGUAGGAAGCCCACUUACGAAAGUGGCUUUAUUCACCCGAACCCACGAAAGCCAUGAGAA
Molecule: ribosomal RNA, 168 nt
Filed under: Eurypegasus draconis (short dragonfish)
Lineage: Eukaryota; Metazoa; Chordata; Actinopteri; Syngnathiformes; Pegasidae
Description: partial 12S ribosomal RNA
Source: RNAcentral